GUUACGAACGCCUCCUGAGAGACUUCGUUCUGCGGGAAAUACUUCGAAACCUCAGGAACCAACAGAGCAGACAAGUUGUUUGGCAGCUAAUUGAGGAGCACUGAGCUCCUGCCAGAGUUGCUUUGAGGAGCUCGUUCUGGUUUUUAAUUAAUACCAGUGGAGCUGCAAAGGCCUAGAAGUGUGAAACCAUGGAAGCGAGGCGCUCGCCCAACCGUGACUCUACAGAGGUCUGCACACACCAGAUAGUUGUAUUUGGUUUACGACACGGCGCUGUAUUCGUGUCGACGGUGGACUUUUUGCAAAGCAUUUUUGACACUUUCCUCUGUCAAACAUUUGGUUGUUAUCAUCUGAUGAAUUGCAUGAGCGACCACUCUUAUUUCAGUAAUUACUGCCGAGCCCAAACCGUUUAGCGGUAGAACUCGUCCUUUUGGUCACUGGCGGCGGUUCCCUAACUGAAAAUUGUGCUGUUGCCAGCGCGUUGCAGCAGCCUGCUGUUAUUGAGAUUAAUGUCGCUGCGAUUGUUGUUACCCCGCGUGGACGCGGCGGACCGGAGUGCAAAAGUGUAAUUUACUGCUAAGUGUGCGGGGUCCUCUUGCUAACACCCGAUCGUUGACCCGGACCAUUCGUCUUUCGCCAUCCGGGCCAAGGUCUCUGCAUUCCUACCCCUCCGAAAUAAUCCAGUGGCAGAAGGAAGGGUCGGUCUGAUCCUUCGUGUCCAGCUGCGAUACAGUCUUGGCUGACUUCGGGCCGGAUGCGUGAGUCGGUGUAAUGACCGAUCAGUCCUCUUUCUCUAUCCUCUACUACCAUUUUGCACUUGUAAUUGGAAUAUUUUUUUUUCCGGUGACUGAUUAGAAACAAGAUCACUUAAUUGCUGCCAUGUUUGAAGGCUGCUGCUCUGUACAACAGAGGGAUGUAUGAGAAGUUACUCUUUGACUUUCCAUUCUCAUACCCGAGCCGAGCAGAGAUCGUGGAUAGAUCGCUUUGCUCAGCCGGGGGGGGUCGUGGUGUGUGUGUGUGUGUGUGUGUGUCCUUAAUAGAUGGUUAGUGAUAUACAUAAUAUUUCGGAUUUGACAGCAGAUCUGUUCUUAAGUUGCCGUGACAGCCUCUCCAAUUCAUGGCAGAGAGCUAUCAAGUGGGACGGAUUAUUCCCUGGCAUCCACACUGAGUGGGGCCCGACAUGCUGCCAGCGUACAAAGGCCCCCGGCUCGGCACGGCUGUGUGACGUCAACAACAAGGAACGUCUUCGUAGCCCCUGCUCAACUUUUCAGAGAUGCGCAGGUGUAAAAAAAAAAAUCCAACAAAGAAAACAGCUGUGCAGAACCGGGCGAGGAGCUCGCUCUCGCUCCGAUGUAAAAACACAGCUGGUAAUUGUGCGCGGCGCCGGCAUGAAUCACACCAAUUAAUGCAACUCAUCUUCCUUCCUGGCCCAUUGGUUGUAUCUUCUCUUGGAAUCACAAAUACAUCGCGUCUCCAUCAGCGUACCAACAUCCGCAGCAAAAGGCCACGUGUGAUCACUAUUUAGAAGCCUCCCUGAGAGCCCUCUGCUCUUCCUCACCACUCAUUGAGAUAAACAUCCAAUUCAUACUGUUGUGCUUUUCCCCGCUCACUGCCUGUACAAAAAGUUUUCAUGUGGCUCAUGCUUCUAUUUAAUCCGGUUCAGUUUAGAAAGGUAGUUGCCUGCAGAGGAAGACCAAGUUUGCAGACAAGACUCACAGCACGCAUUAGCAGAAAAAAAGGCCGGCACAAAUAAUAUAAAGCAUGAACCAAAUGUGAGUCACCAACAUUUAAACAAAAAUACUUGUUCAUCACAUAUUGAUGUGAAACGCCACAUACACAGGAAACCACAUCUCUGCAUGUUAAAAUGAAGCCGUCUGCAAGAUUCUUUUUAGACCCUCGUUAACUCCUAAAUUGGCACCGAGGGGCUGUCGAGGCAGCAGAGAAUUGCAUUAGCUUCCCUCGCCACAGCCGUGCUUCCCCAAAACUCACUCACCCCAGUAAAUAUAAAUGUCUCCAGAUCUGCUUAUUAGUGACUCCAAGAGAAAAAGCAGCCUUGACUGAAGACAACACUGGGAGGCAGUGUUUGAUGGGAACGGCUCUGCAGCACUUCAGUGGUCGUAAAAUGUUGCUGAAGUUCAUGUUCAGAGCCAAGAAGCUGUUCAACUGGCCCAGCAGCAAGUUAGCCAGCUGUCCAGUCACACUCCAGCAUUCAUCGGGAUGUCAUUAUCCACUGGUGUGGGGCUGUAGUGGCUGAGACGGCAGUUUGAGGCAAAUGUUCUUUUGAGGGAGAUGUUCCACAUUUUAAAUUCUCUCCACAAUGAUGUCUUAUUCCUCCCUGAGAUGAUAGAAUAGAAUUGUUGUCUAGUUUUGCAUCUUUUUUUCAUGGUUGUAAAAAAAACGUUCUGCCCCAGUUGCUAGAUUGAAGCAAUGUAUAAUCUAAAAGGAAACACAGCAGGGGGUCAGUGGGAAAGAGACUAACUGCAAACAAUGGUCUCCCAUCCCCACCAGAUGAUUGUAGAGGAUAGUUAAAAACAUAUCUAGCGGCUGCCAAUAGUACGGUCUUACGCUCUGGCUAAUAACUGCUGGCCGAUUCUUUCAUUUGACAUAGUAAUGUUGUUAUUUACCAAUGAGGCAUGAUGCUUUGUGUCAUUACAACUAUUGAGGCGCCUGAGAUCUAAUAGUCGGAUAGUAUUCAUGGUCACCCUGGUAUGAAGGUUUACUUUUAGACUGAAAUAAAUAGCAGAGCGAGCACAUUUUGUAAAACAAUUUGUCUCUCAGGGUUGUCGGCAGUUUAAGAACGUUAACCAUCACUGCUUCUGAUGUGAAUGCUGUCUUUCCCCUGCGUGGUAAAUCAUUACUUACAUGAAGAGUAAGAUUAAGUUACAUUUGUGGUUGCUGCAUUCAGGCAUUAUGUACAGUAAUACCAAAAUAAUGACACUGCUUUCCUUCCUAAGGGCAUCAAAAACCUAUGAAGGAACAAGCCGAUGACGCCGUCAGCCUAUAAACAUACAGGAUUCUGUUGCAUUGUCACACUGUAGUCAAGCUGUAGAUGCUCAGUAUUCCUAAAGCUAACAAUUUGUGGUAUUGUUCAUGCAACAUUUGCAUGACUGGGACUUGCACUGCUGUCCAUUGUCGGCAUUUGUCACCUCACUGUUUUUUGUUUUGUUUUUGCUUCAGUUUCUUUGACGUGGUCUUAUCUUGGACAGAGGUCAUAAUGAGUAGAAAAAAAGAAAUGGCAACGAUCAUGUGAUCAGUUCCAGGGACUGUGGUGUCCCAGAUAUCCCAGUUGUUUCUAUUUUAAAUGGCCAGUAGAUCAUCUGCCUGCAUUUUUAAGUCAUGCAACAAAGAAAAGAUCAGUUACUUUUAAAUCGGGUAUUUAAGUCUUUGCAGGUUUAAGGUGUCAAAAAGAGGCACGCAGGGAGAAAAAUGACUGGAAUAAAGCAAAUACGUGCAUUUGCAAAAUGUUUUGCAAUGCUAAAUGUGGAUGUCCUAUAACUGGUUGCUUUUGAAAUGAUAAAUCUAAUAAGGCCUCAACCAUAAAUAAUUCUCUGCUGCAUCAGAGCAUCAUUUUCCAUGUACUCAAUUAAGGAGAUGAAAACAAUAAUAAAACAAUUUGUAUGGAAGGCGACUUCAUUGCGUCAACUGCGCAGAUAAAACACUGUGCUACUUUAAGAACAAAUAAAUGUAGAAUAGUUUCUGGGGAUCUAGCAAACACGGUUUAACAGCAAGUCUAAAAGUAAACUCCCCAUUUUGCACCUACUUUUUCAGUUGCAAGCACCUUCAUUUCCAUUGCACAACAGGUUUGCAACCUUUUAAAGGUUCUUCAGCAUGACAGCUAACCAUCGUACCGACGGGUCCUUUCAGAAAGCGCCCUUUCAAC
This is a long non-coding RNA of Gasterosteus aculeatus aculeatus (three-spined stickleback), 3877 nucleotides long. The record is from Ensembl. NCBI's taxonomy places the organism in Eukaryota, Metazoa, Chordata, Actinopteri, Perciformes, Gasterosteidae.